This 320-nucleotide unclassified non-coding RNA is filed under the name plant metagenome. RNAcentral's name for it is "partial contains internal transcribed spacer 2 and large subunit ribosomal RNA". The stretch from base 1 to 105 matches the Rfam family "5.8S ribosomal RNA", at positions 50 to 154 of the family's 154-position model. The record is from RNAcentral.
GAAAUGCGAUACGCAAUGCGAAUUGCAGAAUUCCGCGAGUCAUCAGAUCUUUGAACGCAGCCGGCGCUGGCGGGAUCUCCCGUCAGCAUGCUUGUUUCAGUGUGUUUGGUUGACUUCACACAACUCAAUGCGAUUGAGGUUUUUUAAAACUUCUCUCGUGAAGAAGGGAUGCGCGCGGCCCGGCCCGCCAACGGAGUGGUCACUGUUCACCAGUGAUUUCGUUGGAGUCACAGGUCGAGCCAAUACAAGCGCGCAAUUCACAUCUAUAUAAUCUUCAAUCAGCACCCGAAAUCAAGCAAGAUCACCCGCUGAACUUAAGC